This 466-nucleotide ribosomal RNA is filed under the name uncultured bacterium. RNAcentral describes it as "partial 16S ribosomal RNA". It matches the Rfam family "Bacterial small subunit ribosomal RNA", at positions 28 to 507 of the family's 1533-position model. The record is from RNAcentral.
GACGAACGCUGGCGGCGCGCCUAACACAUGCAAGUCGAACGAGCGAGAGAGAGCUUGCUUUCUUGAGCGAGUGGCGAACGGGUGAGUAACGCGUGAGGAACCUGCCUCAAAGAGGGGGACAACAGUUGGAAACGACUGCUAAUACCGCAUAAGCCCACGACCCGGCAUCGGGUUGAGGGAAAAGGAGCCAUCCGCUUUGAGAUGGCCUCGCGUCCGAUUAGCUAGUUGGUGAGGUAACGGCCCACCAAGGCGACGAUCGGUAGCCGGACUGAGAGGUUGAACGGCCACACUGGGACUGAGACACGGCCCAGACUCCUACGGGAGGCAGCAGUGGGGAAUAUUGCACAAUGGGGGAAACCCUGAUGCAGCGACGCCGCGUGGAGGAAGAAGGUCUUCGGAUUGUAAACUCCUGUUGUUGAGGAAGAUAAUGACGGUACUCAACAAGGAAGUGACGGCUAACUACGUG